AGUGAACGCUGGCGGUAGGCCUAACACAUGCAAGUCGAACGGCAGCACAGUAAGAGCUUGCUCUUACGGGUGGCGAGUGGCGGACGGGUGAGGAAUACAUCGGAAUCUACUUUUUCGUGGGGGAUGACGUAGGGAAACUUACGCUAAUACCGCAUACGACCUACGGGUGAAAGCAGGGGAUCUUCGGACCUUGCGCGAUUGAAUGAGCCGAUGUCGGAUUAGCUAGUUGGCGGGGUAAAGGCCCACCAAGGCGACGAUCCGUAGCUGGUCUGAGAGGAUGAUCAGCCACACUGGAACUGAGACACGGUCCAGACUCCUACGGGAGGCAGCAGUGGGGAAUAUUGGACAAUGGGCGCAAGCCUGAUCCAGCCAUACCGCGUGGGUGAAGAAGGCCUUCGGGUUGUAAAGCCCUUUUGUUGGGAAAGAAAAGCAGCAGGUUAAUACCCCGCUGUUCUGACGGUACCCAAAGAAUAAGCACCGGCUAACUUCGUA
Molecule: ribosomal RNA, 492 nt
Filed under: uncultured bacterium
Lineage: Bacteria
Description: partial 16S ribosomal RNA
Rfam family: Bacterial small subunit ribosomal RNA
Source: RNAcentral